UACGGAGGAUCCAAGCGUUAUCCGGAAUCAUUGGGUUUAAAGGGUCCGUAGGUGGACGAUUAAGUCAGAGGUGAAAGUCGGCGGCUCAACCGUAGAAUUGCCUUUGAUACUGGUUGUCUUGAAUCAUUGUGAAGUGGUUAGAAUAUGUAGUGUAGCGGUGAAAUGCAUAGAUAUUACAUAGAAUACCGAUUGCGAAGGCAGAUCACUAACAAUGUAUUGACACUGAUGGACGAAAGCGUGGGUAGCGAACGGG
This 253-nucleotide unclassified non-coding RNA is filed under the name uncultured Flavobacteriaceae bacterium. RNAcentral describes it as "contains 16S-23S intergenic spacer region". It matches the Rfam family "Bacterial small subunit ribosomal RNA", at positions 524 to 776 of the family's 1533-position model. Lineage: Bacteria; Pseudomonadati; Bacteroidota; Flavobacteriia; Flavobacteriales; Flavobacteriaceae. The record is from RNAcentral.